GAGAGUGGCGAACGGGUGAGUAACACGUAGGUGAUCUGCCCUGGUGCUGGGGAUAGCCUGUGGAAACACAGGGUAAUACCGGAUACGCAGCACGGACUUUGGUCUGUGUUGGAAAGGUGCUACGGCACCGCACUGGGAGGAGCCUGCGGCUGAUUAGCUAGUUGGUGGGGUAAAGGCCUACCAAGGCGACGAUCAGUAGCCGGCCUGAGAGGGUGUACGGCCACACUGGGACUGAGACACGGCCCAGACUCCUACGGGAGGCAGCAGCUAAGAAUCUUCCGCAAUGGGCGAAAGCCUGACGGAGCGAUGCCGCGUGAUCGAUGAAGGUCGAGAGAUUGUAAAGAUCUUUUACUGGGGAGGAAUAACCAUGGGAGGGAAUGCCUGUGGGAUGACGUUACCCAGUGAAUAAGCCCCGGCUAAUUACGUGCCAGCAGCCGCGGUAACACGUAAGGGGCGAGCGUUGUUCGGAAUUAUUGGGCGUAAAGGGCACGCAGGCGGUUGUGCAAGUCUGAUGUGAAAGACCUGGGCUUAACUCAGGGAACGCGUUGGAAACUGCACGACUAGAGUAUUAGAGGGGGAGUCGGAAUUCCUAGUGUAGGGGUGAAAUCUGUUGAUAUUAGGAAGAACACCGGUGACGAAGGCGGACUCCUGGCUGGAUACUGACGCUGAGGUGCGAAAGCAUAGGGAGCAAACAGGAUUAGAUACCCUGGUAGUCUAUGCUGUAAACGAUGUGCACUUGGUGUUGGGCCGAUUANGCUCAGUGCCGUAGCUAACGCGAUAAGUGCACCGCCUGGGGAGUAUGCCCGCAAGGGUGAAACUCAAGGAAUUGACGGGGGCCCGCACAGCGGUGGAUUAUGUGGUUUAAUUCGAUGAUACGCGAGAACCUUACCAGGGUUUGA
RNAcentral lists this ribosomal RNA (899 nucleotides) under uncultured bacterium. Its description in RNAcentral is "bacterial SSU rRNA". It matches the Rfam family "Bacterial small subunit ribosomal RNA", at positions 91 to 984 of the family's 1533-position model. The record is from RNAcentral.